This 701-nucleotide ribosomal RNA is filed under the name uncultured Arthrobacter sp. Its description in RNAcentral is "bacterial SSU rRNA". It matches the Rfam family "Bacterial small subunit ribosomal RNA", at positions 414 to 1125 of the family's 1533-position model. Lineage: Bacteria; Bacillati; Actinomycetota; Actinomycetes; Micrococcales; Micrococcaceae. The record is from RNAcentral.
GCCUUCGGGUUGUAAACCUCUUUCAGUAGGGAAGAAGCGAAAGUGACGGUACCUGCAGAAGAAGCGCCGGCUAACUACGUGCCAGCAGCCGCGGUAAUACGUAGGGCGCAAGCGUUAUCCGGAAUUAUUGGGCGUAAAGAGCUCGUAGGCGGUUUGUCGCGUCUGCCGUGAAAGUCCGGGGCUCAACUCCGGAUCUGCGGUGGGUACGGGCAGACUAGAGUGAUGUAGGGGAGACUGGAAUUCCUGGUGUAGCGGUGAAAUGCGCAGAUAUCAGGAGGAACACCGAUGGCGAAGGCAGGUCUCUGGGCAUUAACUGACGCUGAGGAGCGAAAGCAUGGGGAGCGAACAGGAUUAGAUACCCUGGUAGUCCAUGCCGUAAACGUUGGGCACUAGGUGUGGGGGACAUUCCACGUUUUCCGCGCCGUAGCUAACGCAUUAAGUGCCCCGCCUGGGGAGUACGGCCGCAAGGCUAAAACUCAAAGGAAUUGACGGGGGCCCGCACAAGCGGCGGAGCAUGCGGAUUAAUUCGAUGCAACGCGAAGAACCUUACCAAGGCUUGACAUGAACCGGACCGCCGCAGAAAUGUGGUUUCCCCUUUGGGGUCGGUUUACAGGUGGUGCAUGGUUGUCGUCAGCUCGUGUCGUGAGAUGUUGGGUUAAGUCCCGCAACGAGCGCAACCCUCGUUCUAUGUUGCCAGCACG